RNAcentral lists this ribosomal RNA (367 nucleotides) under uncultured organism. RNAcentral's name for it is "bacterial LSU rRNA". It matches the Rfam family "Bacterial large subunit ribosomal RNA", at positions 2099 to 2465 of the family's 2925-position model. The record is from RNAcentral.
CUUUACUGUAGCUUGGAAUUGGGUUCGGGCUUUGCUUGCGCAGGAUAGGUGGGAGACGUUGAAGUAUUCCUUGUGGGGGAUACUGAGUCAUCGGUGAGAUACCACUCUGGCAAGGCUAGAAUUCUAACUCUCUGCCGUUAUCCGGCGAGGGAACAGUUUCAGGUGGGCAGUUUGACUGGGGCGGUCGCCUCCUAAAAAAUAACGGAGGCGCGCAAAGGUUCCCUCAGGCUGGUCGGAAAUCAGCCGUAGAGUGCAAAAGCAUAAGGGAGCUUGACUGCAAGACCUACAAGUCGAGCAGGUACGAAAGUAGGCUUUAGUGAUCCGACGGUACUGCGUGGAAAGGCCGUCGCUCAACGGAUAAAAGUUA